This 1693-nucleotide unclassified non-coding RNA is filed under the name Hevea brasiliensis (rubber tree). Lineage: Eukaryota; Viridiplantae; Streptophyta; Magnoliopsida; Malpighiales; Euphorbiaceae. The record is from RNAcentral.
CUUAAGUGCCUUGCAAAUGCUUUCAAGCUCAGGAUGGUACUUGAUCUUUUGUUUAGUCAUUACCACUUCAAUAACCCCCAAGCAAGUCCUGCUGCCUUGUUCAAAAACAGGAAGGGCCAGAGUUCCACGUACAUCAUACAGUUGAGCAUGAUCUACCCGUGGAUAUUCAUCACUUCUAAAGAAUCGAACAUCAGGAGUCCACUCAGGAACCUUGCCCAAGAAAACCCGACCAGGAAGCCCCACCAUGUCCUUGGAAUCCUCCUCAGCUGAAAAUUGAUAGUUAACGGAUAUGUGUCUGUAAUUUGCCAGCCUUUGACAGUUGGGAACAAGGGCAAAACGUUGGUCAUGAGUUGUUAGAACACGCCUACCUCCUCUGUCUACAGGGACCCAUAUUUGUAUAAGGAUAUCUUUAUCUUUUGUGAAAUCUUUAAUAUAUCCAAGUGCUCUAAUUAAUCUAUCCCUGACAGAAGUUUUGGGGCCUGGACUUGUUCUCGGUCCAAUCCACCAACUUUUGCUUGCUUCAGAAGCUUCAUUUCUAUUAUUUUCCAAUCUGUUGGCACUACGUAUGUCGUGGCCAUGAGCCUGAACAUUAACCAGACUUCUGCCACGGGCUUCAUUUGAGGAUGAAUUAGUGGGCAACAAUGAUGUAUGUUCAUCAUCUUGAUUGCUUCUCUGGGAUGUAGAGGAAGCCAAAUCAACAUUACUGAUCUCUGAAGUAGACCAUAGAAACGAAGCAUCAACAAGGGCAGCAGAACUAGAGGGGCUAGUAUUGAAGAACUCAGACCCAUCAAUUGUUUCCAGCCAGCAUCCUUCUAACAAUAAUUUAUCCAUGUAUUCAAUGUCCAUAGCUGAAUCAGCAUAAGCACCCAGCAUAGGCCCUGGUGAUAAAUUGCGGUCUUCCAUGAUGAUCUAUCCUCAAAAUCUCACUUAAAAGUCCCUAUUCUGCUGUGUUGUUCAAUGCUAUACUAUGCAAAAGAUGAUCUAAUUCCACCUAAAGUUCUCAAAACAAUAACCUCAUUUCAGAUAUUCAGUCUUCAAAUAUAAUCUGUCCAAAUUAUUGAAACACCCUCGAUACAGUCAACAAGAACAUCAAACCAGAUAAGUACAAUAAAUUCCACAGAGCAUUUGAGGUAGGGGAAAAAAUAAUUUCUUUUCCAGUUGAACGGGAGGGCGGUUGAUCAAUAGGAUGUUUCAGUGGAUGAACGCCAAACUGUGCAAAGAUAUCUUCUAUCAUUGUAGUCUUUUUGGUGGAGCAGAACCCAAAACCGAAAAAUAUACUGUCCAAACGUCUGUGGCCUGGAACAUGAGCAACGAACAAAGUAAAGGCUGAAAGACAGGCCCUUUGCGAGGCUGUUUCUUGGGAAAUAGCCUCCACAAGAAGAUAACUCUUUUUUCUCUCUCUCUCUCUCAUAGAAAUAAUCUGAGCCUCUCGCUAGCGUUUUCACUGUUUAUGAUUCCAUAUUAUUGUGCGAGGGAAGAUUCUGCUUCCAAACUAUGAUCCCACACGACCAGCUCACUAUGAUUUUGGUGGGUCUUGAAAUUCUCGCCGUUCAAGACAACUUUUUUCAAGCCCAGACAAAGCUAAAGCGGUAGAGAGAGAACCGUUCUGGUUGCUGAUGCCAUGGCUGACGUUGAAGCUAAAUCUUCAAUGGGGAAUAUAAUAUUAAAUUAAAAUAUAAAAUAUAAGUGGAAU